AACGGUCUAUACCUGCGGUACCUGCGGAAGGAUCAUUACCGAGUGAGGACCUAACCGGUCCAACCUCCCACCCGUGUCUAUCGUACCUUGUUGCUUCGGCGGGCCCGCCAUUCGUGGCCGCCGGGGGGCAUCUCGCCCCCGGGCCCGCGCCCGCCGGAGACACCAACACGAACACUGUCUGAAGGUUGCAGUCUGAGUCGAUUUAUUUAAUCGUUAAAACUUUUAACAACGGAUCUCUAG
This 240-nucleotide unclassified non-coding RNA is filed under the name soil metagenome. RNAcentral describes it as "partial contains 5.8S ribosomal RNA, internal transcribed spacer 2, and large subunit ribosomal RNA". The record is from RNAcentral.